RNAcentral lists this ribosomal RNA (483 nucleotides) under uncultured bacterium. RNAcentral describes it as "partial 16S ribosomal RNA". It matches the Rfam family "Bacterial small subunit ribosomal RNA", at positions 30 to 507 of the family's 1533-position model. The record is from RNAcentral.
AUUGAACGCUGGCGGCAGGCCUAACACAUGCAAGUCGAGCGGAUGAAGGGAGCUUGCUCCUGGAUUCAGCGGCGGACGGGUGAGUAAUGCCUAGGAAUCUGCCUGGUAGUGGGGGAUAACGUCCGGACACGGGCGCUAAUACCGCAUACGUCCUGAGGGAGAAAGUGGGGGAUCUUCGGACCUCACGCUAUCAGAUGAGCCUAGGUCGGAUUAGCUAGUUGGUGGGGUAAAGGCCUACCAAGGCGACGAUCCGUAACUGGUCUGAGAGGAGGAUCAGUCACACUGGAACUGGAAAACGGUCCAGACUCCAACGGGAGGCAGCAGUGGGGAAUAUUGGACAAUGGGCGAAAGCCGGAUCCAGCCAGGCCGCGUGUGUGAAGAAGGUCUUCGGAUUGUAAAGCACUUUAAGUUGGAGGAAGGGCAGUAAGUUAAUACCUUGCUGUUUUGACGUUACCAACAGAAUAAGCACCGGCUAACUUCGUG